This 312-nucleotide small nuclear RNA is filed under the name Erinaceus europaeus (western European hedgehog). Its description in RNAcentral is "7SK RNA". It matches the Rfam family "7SK RNA". Rfam says of the family: 7SK was discovered as an abundant small nuclear RNA in the mid-70s but a possible function has only recently been suggested. Two independent studies have found that 7SK RNA binds the CDK9/cyclin T complex (known as elongation factor P-TEFb). Lineage: Eukaryota; Metazoa; Chordata; Mammalia; Eulipotyphla; Erinaceidae. The record is from Rfam by way of RNAcentral.
GAAAGGAGGGUGUACUGUAGUCUCACUUAAAUCAAUUGGUAUGCAUGAGCCAUCCGAUUUAUCUCGCACCACUGAUGGGUCCGCUAACACAACUGUCCCUUCUUUCCUCACUGAUCCAUGUGUAUCCCUCCCAAAGCUGAUUUCUAUUGGAAGAGGGCAACCUUCCCCAAUAGAAAGAAACAGAUGUUUCGCAAAGUGUAUGAGAAUAGCUGCCCUCUUCUAACAGAACCUCUAAAGAAGCUUUCAUUGAAUCCAGAUGGCCUAACUCUAAGCAUCUGUUGGUACAAUGUAAAUGAUAACCUGGAAUAUAGC